Molecule: long non-coding RNA, 2511 nt
Organism: Oncorhynchus tshawytscha (Chinook salmon)
Lineage: Eukaryota; Metazoa; Chordata; Actinopteri; Salmoniformes; Salmonidae
Source: Ensembl
CAGUAAUGUUCACUGUUUUAAUGAUAACAUGGACCGGACAGACAGUAAUGUUCACUGUUAUAAUGAUAACAUGGACUGGACAGACAGUAAUGUUCACUGUUUUAAUGAUAACAUGGACUGGACAGACAGUAAUGUUCACUGUUAUAAUGAUAACAUGGACUGGGCAGUAAUUGAUGUUCACUGUAUUUUAAUGAUAACAUGGACUGGACAGACAGUAAUGUUCACUGUAUUCCAGGUUCCAUAGAUGAGGCAAACAACUCCAGUCAGUAGGACAGAGACAUUGAUGACAUCAGUGUCUCGGAUGAGGGUGAGGAGUGAGAGAAACCGAUUGUCCAGAAUCUUCGAGAAGCGUAGGAGACGCCCGUGUUUGAUAGAUUGUCCGACCCCGACGGUUAAGGUCAAGAGGAUGGUCUCACUAGCUGUGAGAGUGAUUGAUCUAUUUUAUUGUCCAUCUUCCAUACAGUCCUAGGAACGGUAAGGCUGUAAGACUGCUACUGGUUUUUAAUUUAUAAAGAAAUUGUAUUGAUCUCUACUGUACGCACAGAUACAAAUAUCAAUCUGUUAUAGAGGAGUUCCUCUCUACCCUCUGGUACAGUGUCCAUAUUAGGACAUAGUCAGGCAUCAGACAAAUCUGGGUCAGAAUCAAUGUCCUAAUAUGGACACCAUACUAAGAUUUUGUUGUAAUGAAAUAAGGCCUACUGUAUUGAAUAUUCAGCUACAUACUUUCUGUUUGAGUGUACAGUGUGUGACAUGGCAUUAAAUGUGCUGUAAUAUUAAUUAAAACCAAAGGAGAAACUCCAUCUAUCGAACUUGCAUUAUGUGUCGCACUUGACACAUACACACUUUGUUUCAGCCUGUUUCUCUCUCUGGGAAACACAUGAUUAGAUAGCACACAGACAGGCUAGGACCAAAGUUCAAACCUGGGACAUCGUAAAUGACCUUUGAAAGUCACGUGCAGAGCUCUAGUCGACGACAACGCGCCUUUUGAUCGAAUCCCAGACUAAAGUCACUGAUAAAAACUAAUCAUAUGCCUGUAAAACAAGUAAAAUCAUCCCUUCUAGGCACGAUCAUCAUCUUAUUGGCAAAGUAAACAUUUGUCGGGUCAAAAUAAUGUCAAAAUAAUGGUUUGGCUCGAAGCUGAAAAAAAAACGUAUAUUUGGAAUACUAAUCAAGUCCAAUACAUGAUGACAUCAAAGAUUCACAAUCACAUCCCUUCUUAUCAAUUUAUACCAUUAAAUAGUAUAAUAUACAACAUCUUGACACUUAGGACUACGGAAUAAUGUUAGGUCCAAAGGCUGACCUCCCAGCCUGGUUACAGCGAUCAACCAGCACAACCAAUUAACAGUACAAUAUUAUUCAACAUCUUUGAACAGACAACGUGCAACAUCACGUCCAGCAGAGCAGAGUCCUUCUGUCUGUAAGGGGGGGGAGGGGGGGGGCGUUCACAAGACAGCGAGUUCACAAAAACGUAUCGUCAAAUACACACAACCGUGACAUGUUACACACAUGUAGUCCGACAAGACGUUGUCCAAUCCUAACGCUUUGAUAUGUUGUUGCAUUGUUCUCCGUUCCUCUCAGUACCUUGGCGAUUGACAGCUAUAUAUUUUAUGUCACAUGAAGAUUUCAACACUGUUCAGUACCGAUAUCCUAGUACCGCGCGACAGACACACAAACAGUUGCUAAGGAGCGGUUGGCAUAACAUUGGAGUAACCUUGCAGUAGCAUGUUUGAGAAUACGUUCUUCCGUGAGAUUAGGAUGUGUUGACCGAGAAUACGUUCUUCCGUGAGAUUAGGAUGUGUUGACUGAGAAUACGUUCUUCCGUGAGAUUAGGAUGUGUUGACCGAGAAUACGUUCUUCGGUGAGAUUAGGAUGUGUUGACCGAGAAUACGUUCUUCGGUGAGAUUAGGAUGUGUUGACCGAGAAUACGUUCUUCGGUGAGAUUAGGAUGUGUUGACCAAGAAUACGUUCUUCGGUGAGAUUAGGAUGUGUUGACCGAGAAUACGUUCCUCCGUGAGAUUAGGAUGUGUUGACUGAGAAUACGUUCUUCCGUGAGAUUAGGAUGUGUUGACUGAGAAUACGUUCUUCCGUGAGAUUAGGAUGUGUUGACCGAGAAUACGUUCUUCCGUGAGAUUACGAUGUGUUGACCGAGAAUACGUUCUUCCGUGAGAUUAGGAUGUGUUGACUGAGAAUACGUUCCUCCGUGAGAUUAGGAUGUGUUGACUGAGAAUACGUUCUUCCGUGAGAUUAGGAUGUGUUGACUGAGAACAUCAGGGUUGCAAAAUUCCUUUGACUUUUUCCUUGUUGGAGGAUUCCUGGAUUUCCUGCUGAUUCCCUUCGGGUUAAAACAUCUUCCAAUCAGGAUUUCUAUAAAACAUGGGAAUUUGGGGAGUUACCUGGAAUUUUGCAACCCUGCAAAACAUACACAGUACCACAAACUCUUUAUAUACAGUACCAGUCAAACGUUUGGACAUACCUACUCAUUCAAGGGUUUUUCUUUAUUUUCUAUUUUUU